Molecule: ribosomal RNA, 859 nt
Filed under: Oceanobacillus sp.
Lineage: Bacteria; Bacillati; Bacillota; Bacilli; Caryophanales; Bacillaceae
Description: bacterial SSU rRNA
Source: RNAcentral
AUACAUGCAAGUCGAGCGCGUGAAACCUUUCUGAUCCAUUCGGGGUGACGAAAGGUGGAUCGAGCGGCGGACGGGUGAGUAACACGUGGGUAACCUGCCUGUAAGACUGGGAUAACUCGCGGAAACGCGAGCUAAUACCGGAUAAUACUUCUUAUCGCAUGAUAGGAAUUUAAAAGACGGCGUAAGCUGUCACUUACAGAUGGACCCGCGGCGCAUUAGCUAGUUGGUGGGGUAAGAGCCUACCAAGGCGACGAUGCGUAGCCGACCUGAGAGGGUGAUCGGCCACACUGGGACUGAGACACGGCCCAGACUCCUACGGGAGGCAGCAGUAGGGAAUCUUCCGCAAUGGACGAAAGUCUGACGGAGCAAUGCCGCGUGAGUGAAGAAGGUCUUCGGAUCGUAAAACUCUGUUGUUAGGGAAGAACAAGUUGGAUAGUAACUGAUCCARCCUUGACGGUACCUAACCAGAAAGCCACGGCUAACUACGUGCCAGCAGCCGCGGUAAUACGUAGGUGGCAAGCGUUGUCCGGAUUUAUUGGGCGUAAAGCGCUCGCAGGCGGUCUUUUAAGUCUGAUGUGAAAUCUUGCGGCUUAACCGUAAGCGGUCAUUGGAAACUGGAGGACUUGAGUGCAGAAGAGGAGAGUGGAAUUCCAUGUGUAGCGGUGAAAUGCGUAGAGAUAUGGAGGAACACCAGUGGCGAAAGCGACUCUCUGGUCUGCAACUGACGCUGAGGAGCGAAAGCGUGGGUAGCGAACAGAUUAGAUACCCUGGUAGUCCACGCCGUAACGAUGAGUGCUAGGUGUUAGGGGGUUUCCGCCCCUUAGUGCUGAAGUUAACGCAUUAAGCACUCCGCCUGGGG